This 1326-nucleotide long non-coding RNA is filed under the name Rattus norvegicus (Norway rat). RNAcentral's name for it is "long non-coding RNA NONRATT001599". Lineage: Eukaryota; Metazoa; Chordata; Mammalia; Rodentia; Muridae. The record is from RNAcentral.
GAGCCACGUGAGAUACUUGUUAAUACCAAGCUGAAGUAAAUUAUAGGUUACUUUAAGUAAAUUGAUACUCUUGAAUAUUUCUCCUGAUUUUUGUUUUCAUUUGUCACAGAAUUUCCAGAUUGUAGCUAGGCAUAUAGGAUUUUGAGCUUCUAAUCCCAGCACUCCAGAGUCAGGAUUUCAGCAAGUUGAGACCAGCCUGGGUUGUAUAACCUAGCCCCUUUAGGAUUUGAGGUUAUUUGUAUCUGGGAUGGUGAAAUUUUCAAAGUUGAGCCAAGUGUAGGAACUAUUAAAAGACUUCACAUAAGCAGUCUCCAUGUGAGUGACUACGUGUUUCUGUCAGCACUGGCUCAAACACUCAUAUUUAAAUUUCUCAAGUAGCCUGUGUGUAAUGCCCAUGGCAAACUUAAGUUCACUGGCCUUUAUUGCACACUUGUGUUUUCUUGUCCCUCCAUCGCUACAGAUCGAUUCAAACAUGCAGGUGAUGAUAGUGCUUGAGACUUCCUGUUGUGUCACAUCUUUCAACUCUUAUGAAAGCCCUAGGUUUUGUUUUUAUAAUUCUGUGUCCACACCUAUGAGAAAAGUACUCACCAGAAUAGUAUUUCUCACCUUGGACUUAGGCAUCUAUCUAAUACAACUACAUAGUAUGCUAAAUGGCUUUGGGGUAAUUAUUACUGUAAAGCUAUUCUGCAGUAAAAACGUAUUAAAGGGUGGUUAUUCUGCAGAUUCAUCAGUUGUUAGCUGUUUGUGUCACUCAUACAGAGAUAAACUAAAAUGCAUGUUUUUUUAGAGUGCCAUUUUUAGUUCUAUUUAACAUUCAGUCGACAUACAGAUUAGAUUGUGUUGAAUAUCUAGGGUUACAACAGUUUUAACACUCCUAGAUUAUAUCAGAUGAGAAAAAAGGUGUCAGAUGAUACCUAUUUGAAACACGUUCAAUGUACACAUUGCGUUGUUGGCCUGGCUUUUAAGCAUUGGGGUGAUAUCUUUGAGUCUUUAAAUGAGAUUAAGGCUUUGUGGUGAAUUAAAGAGUAGUGUAUUCAUUAUUACUUAAUGAGCUGUAACUAGCAGGCAGUGCACAGUACAACUGGUGUUUCUGCUGUGUAAAACAUCAGGACUGGGAUUCAAUACUAAGAAGAUUAUACAAGUAAAUACUAGACAAAAAUUAUAAAAGAGGGUUAUGCUAUUACAUUCCUGGAGUGCUAGAACCAGGGUAUAAAACAAUAUUAACAGUAACGUUACCUUUAUUUAACCCCCUCAUCAGGCUCUAUCUUCCCCUCACAUUUUGUUCAAAUAUUUCCUAAAAGAUUUUCUGUGGUUUUAACCAGAAUA